AGAGAGAGACAUGCGCGCAUAUCAAUAAGCGGAGGAAAAGAAACUAACAAGGAUUCCCCUAGUAACGGCGAGUGAAGCGGGAAGAGCUCAAAUUUGAAAUCUUAAAGGGUUUCCCUUUACGAAUUGUAGUUUAAAGAAGUGUUUUCUGUUGAGGUUUUGGUAAAAGUUCUUUGGAGUAGGACAUCAUAGAGGGUGAGAAUCCCGUAUUUGACCUUUACUUUCAACUUUGUGAUAUCACUUUCAAAGAGUCGGAUUGUUUGGGAAUGCAGUCCAAAAUGGGUGGUAAAUUUCAUCUAAAGCUAAAUAUUGGCGAGAGACCGAUAGCGAACAAGUACCGUGAGGGAAAGAUGAAAAGAACUUUGAAAAGAGAGUUAAACAGUACGUGAAAUUGUCAAAAGGGAAGCGUUUGACACCAGUGUUGUUUUUCUGAAAAUCAAUUAAAGAACUGUUUAUGCUAAGUUGUUUAGACUUUAUCAGCUAACUGUUUAGUUUUGAGCUUUUCUUUAAUGCACUUUUCAGUUAACAAGUCAACAUCAAUUUCUUUUGCUGUAAAAAAGCUUGAGGAAGGUGGCUUGAGAUUCGUCUUAAGUGUUUAUAGCCUCUUGCCUAUGCAGUCGGAGAGAUUGAGGUCUGCAGCGUAGAUCCUUCGGGGCUAAAUGCAUUUGUGCUAAGUUAUAGCAUUUUAUAGACAACUUGUUGACUAUGAUUUGUCUUGUAGCUUACUCGCUUAUGUUAUUUUACCUACGCUUAGGAUGUUGAGCGCAUGUCUCUCUCU
Molecule: ribosomal RNA, 775 nt
Filed under: uncultured Neocallimastigales
Lineage: Eukaryota; Fungi; Neocallimastigomycota; Neocallimastigomycetes; Neocallimastigales
Description: partial large subunit ribosomal RNA
Rfam family: Eukaryotic large subunit ribosomal RNA
Source: RNAcentral